Molecule: long non-coding RNA, 1263 nt
Organism: Sebastes umbrosus (honeycomb rockfish)
Lineage: Eukaryota; Metazoa; Chordata; Actinopteri; Perciformes; Sebastidae
Exons: 3
Source: RefSeq, a predicted model, not a curated record
AUCUCUGACAGGCCGCGGUUUUUCAUGCAGCUUUGUGAGCCCCGUCAGACACUGGGACGUUCACACUGUACAAAAGAGCAGGGACACACAGGAGCCCUCUUCAGUAUACGACAGGCUGCCACUGUUUGUUCAGGCUGCUGAGGGGCUUCACAUGCUGUCUGUCUGACUGAGCUGCUACAGCCGUCGAUGAGGGUGAGGCUGAUGGGUGCUGGUCAACUCCCAGAGGACCCGUUAACUUCUAACUGAAGGUUGUUGGCUCAUCUGAGGAGCUCCAGCAGCAGAAAUGAUCAUCAGACUGGGCAGACUGACUCCGGGAUACUUCCGUCUCCUCCAGAGGCAGGUCUCAGGUGAGCUCCGGAUGCAGCCACAGAGCAGCCUCAUCGAUCCCAUCGCCAUGACGAUGGCCACAGUGGGGAUGGGAGUGUCUCUGUACAGCGCCAGGCAGAUGGCAGAGAGGGUCCACCUGAAACAUCCAGCUGCCUGGGAUCAGUGAGAAGCUCUGAGACUGCUUCUUUGUUUGUGUACGUCGCAGAAGGUUUGUGAUGGAGGAGGUCGACAGAGUCCAUGUGUUUGUGGUGUUGAUUGAAGGAAAAUCUAAGUGUCCCAGGAGGGAAAUGUGAGUCAUUGUUCAGUCCCAAAGGGAAGAUUAGUCAUACACACAAUUUACACUUUCUUUGCAAUCUCAACAUUUAUAAGCAAAUAUAAGUGAGCCUGUAGUUUGACCACCCUGCAUAUUUUGAGCAGGUUGCCUUUAAUUUCAUCAGUGAUCGUAUUCUAAUGCAAUAAAUGAGCAUAUCAUUUGUCAACCUGGAUCUCAGCAUUAAAGUUUAACCUGCAGCUGUUAUUAUGUCAUAAAAUUAAUGUUUCAUAAAAAUGAACCACAGAAAAUCUAAUGAAAUAAUUCUGUAGUAAAUUCUCUCAGCGCACAAGCUUGUUGUAUUUAGGGACACUAAUCAUAAGCAUGCACUAUAACCUCAAAAUAUUUCAGUUCAGUCAUUAGUUUGUUGUACUUAAGCAUUUUGAAUUUAGAUUGCUUAUUAUUUACGAAGCAGACUAUAAUCAGCUAAAGGAAAAGGCUGUUUUCAUUAGGGCAUCUUCAGUUUGCUAAAUCAAAAUUUCAUGUUUGUACUAGGAUUUGAUAAAGGAAAUGUCUGCAAAUGUAAAAUGCCACUAAAAGACAUUCAAAUUAUUUAAUUUGUAUCGUAACAAAGUUGGUAAAUUGAUGCAAUUUCCAAAUAAAUAUGUUCACAGAUCUGACUUUUA